Molecule: long non-coding RNA, 571 nt
Organism: Anthonomus grandis grandis
Lineage: Eukaryota; Metazoa; Arthropoda; Insecta; Coleoptera; Curculionidae
Exons: 2
Source: RefSeq, a predicted model, not a curated record
GCUGCAUCCUAAACGAAUUUUUAUUUAGUCGUAAGUGGUUUUGUUUACGCAACAUUUACGAGCCUACAACAUGAGCAAUUGGAGUUUUUGGAAACCAUUGACUUUGGCGGAGUUGGCCAACGAGCUAGAAAAUGAUGAUACUGCUGAUAUUCCUGAAGAAAUAAUAAUUUUCCCGCCUGAAAAUGCUAACGAUGACUGUGGUACUGAUGAAGACUCGGGAGAUGAAAAUGUAGUAGAUAUAAAUGAUUUGCCCGGACCUCAGCUACGAACUAAUGUAGAGUGCAGGAACUAGAAGUAGGAGAGCAUUAGGAUGGCGAGGAUGAAAAGCCGUGAUCGCACAGGUGACCUAACUAAAGAAAAACUUUUCUCUUUUAUUGGUGGUUUAGUUUUAAGUGGAUACGUUCAUCUACCUAGAGACAGAAUGUAUUGGCAGAAUAGAAAUGACACGAAUAAUAAACUUGUGUGUGACGCUAUUUCUCGCAACAGAUUUCAAUAUAUAAUGAAUGAUAUUUAUUGUAAUAAUAAUACGAACAUAAAUAAAGAAGACAGAUAUUCAACAAUGAGACCCUAA